GCGGCGUGCCUAAUACAUGCAAGUCGAGCGAACGGACGAGAAGCUUGCUUCUCUGAUGUUAGCGGCGGACGGGUGAGUAACACGUGGAUAACCUACCUAUAAGACUGGGAUAACUUCGGGAAACCGGAGCUAAUACCGGAUAAUAUUUUGAACCGCAUGGUUCAAAAGUGAAAGACGGUCUUGCUGUCACUUAUAGAUGGAUCCGCGCUGCAUUAGCUAGUUGGUAAGGUAACGGCUUACCAAGGCAACGAUGCAUAGCCGACCUGAGAGGGUGAUCGGCCACACUGGAACUGAGACACGGUCCAGACUCCUACGGGAGGCAGCAGUAGGGAAUCUUCCGCAAUGGGCGAAAGCCUGACGGAGCAACGCCGCGUGAGUGAUGAAGGUCUUCGGAUCGUAAAACUCUGUUAUUAGGGAAGAACAUAUGUGUAAGUAACUGUGCACAUCUUGACGGUACCUAAUCAGAAAGCCACGGCUAACUACGUGCCAGCAGCCGCGGUAAUACGUAGGUGGCAAGCGUUAUCCGGAAUUAUUGGGCGUAAAGCGCGCGUAGGCGGUUUUUUAAGUCUGAUGUGAAAGCCCACGGCUCAACCGUGGAGGGUCAUUGGAAACUGGAAAACUUGAGUGCAGAAGAGGAAAGUGGAAUUCCAUGUGUAGCGGUGAAAUGCGCAGAGAUAUGGAGGAACACCAGUGGCGAAGGCGACUUUCUGGUCUGUAACUGACGCUGAUGCGCGAAAGCGUGGGGAUCAAACAGGAUUAGAUACCCUGGUAGUCCACGCCAUAAACGAUGAGUGCUAAGUGUUAGGGGGUUUCCGCCCCUUAGUGCUGCAGCUAACGCAUUAAGCACUCCGCCUGGGGAGUACGACCGCAAGGUUGAAACUCAAAGGAAUUGACGGGGACCCGCACAAGCGGUGGAGCAUGUGGUUUAAUUCGAAGCAACGCGAAGAACCUUACCAAAUCUUGACAUCCUUUGACAACUCUAGAGAUAGAGCCUUCCCCUUCGGGGGACAAAGUGACAGGUGGUGCAUGGUUGUCGUCAGCUCGUGUCGUGAGAUGUUGGGUUAAGUCCCGCAACGAGCGCAACCCUUAAGCUUAGUUGCCAUCAUUAAGUUGGGCACUCUAAGUUGACUGCCGGUGACAAACCGGAGGAAGGUGGGGAUGACGUCAAAUCAUCAUGCCCCUUAUGAUUUGGGCUACACACGUGCUACAAUGGACAAUACAAAGGGCAGCGAAACCGCGAGGUCAAGCAAAUCCCAUAAAGUUGUUCUCAGUUCGGAUUGUAGUCUGCAACUCGACUACAUGAAGCUGGAAUCGCUAGUAAUCGUAGAUCAGCACGCUACGGUGAAUACGUUCCCGGGUCUUGUACACACCGCCCGUCACACCACGAGAGUUUGUAACACCCGAAGCCGGUGGAGUAACCUUUUAGGAGCUAGCCGUCGAAGGGGGGACAAAUGAUUGGGGUGAAGUC
RNAcentral lists this ribosomal RNA (1468 nucleotides) under uncultured organism. RNAcentral describes it as "16S ribosomal RNA". It matches the Rfam family "Bacterial small subunit ribosomal RNA". The record is from RNAcentral.